Molecule: non-coding RNA, 334 nt
Organism: Chiloscyllium plagiosum (whitespotted bambooshark)
Lineage: Eukaryota; Metazoa; Chordata; Chondrichthyes; Orectolobiformes; Hemiscylliidae
Source: the annotation of a RefSeq genome assembly
AUGCUCCAUGAAGUCUUUUGUCUCAUCUGGAUGUUUGCACUGUCCCCAGGACGUCUGGCCUCUUACGUGGAGCAGUCUCCAUCGAUUGUGUCGAUUGCAGCAGGGGACUCGGAAGAAAUCAGCUUACAGCUAUAUGUACUGGUACCGACAGCAACCCAACCGGCCAAUAGAAGUUUUAUUCUACUCUGUUGGUGAAAAGUCAAUUACAAAUUACACAUCCGAAUCUUAUCGUGCUAAAAGGCCCAGUGAAACUCUGUUUAGUUUGGAACUGAAAGGCACCUCUCCAUCUCACACGGCUGUCUAUUUCUGUGCAUGUAGUAGUGCACAGUGUUAG